Small nucleolar RNA from Rhinolophus ferrumequinum (greater horseshoe bat), 104 nucleotides. The record is from Ensembl. NCBI's taxonomy places the organism in Eukaryota, Metazoa, Chordata, Mammalia, Chiroptera, Rhinolophidae.
AUCCUUUCGUAGUUAAUAAGUGUGAUGAUUGGGUUGUCACGCUCUUGUGUGAGAUGUGCCUCCCUCAAACCUUGUUACAACAUCGACACAUUACCCAUUUGACA